GAUGAACGCUGGCGGCGUGCCUAAUACAUGCAAGUCGAGCGAACGGACGAGAAGCUUGCUUCUCUGAUGUUAGCGGCGGACGGGUGAGUAACACGUGGAUAACCUACCUAUAAGACUGGGAUAACUUCGGGAAACCGGAGCUAAUACCGGAUAAUAUUUUGAACCGCAUGGUUCAAAAGUGAAAGACGGUCUUGCUGUCACUUAUAGAUGGAUCCGCGCUGCAUUAGCUAGUUGGUAAGGUAACGGCUUACCAAGGCAACGAUGCAUAGCCGACCUGAGAGGGUGAUCGGCCACACUGGAACUGAGACACGGUCCAGACUCCUACGGGAGGCAGCAGUAGGGAAUCUUCCGCAAUGGGCGAAAGCCUGACGGAGCAACGCCGCGUGAGUGAUGAAGGUCUUCGGAUCGUAAAACUCUGUUAUUAGGGAAGAACAUAUGUGUAAGUAACUGUGCACAUCUUGACGGUACCUAAUCAGAAAGCCACGGCUAACUACGUGCCAACAGCCGCGGUAAUACGUAGGUGGCAAGCGUUAUCCGGAAAUAUUGGGCGUAAAGCGCGCGUAGCGGUUUUUUAGUCUGAUGUGAAAGCCCACGGCUCAACCGUGGAGGGUCAUUGGAAACUGGAAAACUUGAGUGCAGAAGAGGAAAGUGGAAUUCCAUGUGUAGCGGUGAAAUGCGCAGAGAUAUGGAGGAACACCAGUGGCGAAGGCGACUUUCUGGUCUGUAACUGACGCUGAUGUGCGAAAGCGUGGGGAUCAAACAGGAUUAGAUACCCUGGUAGUCCACGCCGUAAACGAUGAGUGCUAAGUGUUAGGGGGUUUCCGCCCCUUAGUGCUGCAGCUAACGCAUUAAGCACUCCGCCUGGGGAGUACGACCGCAAGGUUGAAACUCAAAGGAAUUGACGGGGACCCGCACAAGCGGUGGAGCAUGUGGUUUAAUUCGAAGCAACGCGAAGAACCUUACCAAAUCUUGACAUCCUUUGACAACUCUAGAGAUAGAGCUUUCCCCUUCGGGGGACAAAGUGACAGGUGGUGCAUGGUUGUCGUCAGCUCGUGUCGUGAGAUGUUGGGUUAAGUCCCGCAACGAGCGCAACCCUUAAGCUUAGUUGCCAUCAUUAAGUUGGGCACUCUAAGUUGACUGCCGGUGACAAACCGGAGGAAGGUGGGGAUGACGUCAAAUCAUCAUGCCCCUUAUGAUUUGGGCUACACACGUGCUACAAUGGACAAUACAAAGGGCAGCGAAACCGCGAGGUCAAGCAAAUCCCAUAAAGUUGUUCUCAGUUCGGAUUGUAGUCUGCAACUCGACUACAUGAAGCUGGAAUCGCUAGUAAUCGUAGAUCAGCAUGCUACGGUGAAUACGUUCCCGGGUCU
Molecule: ribosomal RNA, 1370 nt
Filed under: uncultured bacterium
Lineage: Bacteria
Description: bacterial SSU rRNA
Rfam family: Bacterial small subunit ribosomal RNA
Source: RNAcentral